RNAcentral lists this ribosomal RNA (1439 nucleotides) under Salmonella enterica. Its description in RNAcentral is "partial 23S ribosomal RNA". It matches the Rfam family "Bacterial large subunit ribosomal RNA", at positions 1530 to 2925 of the family's 2925-position model. The record is from RNAcentral. Lineage: Bacteria; Pseudomonadati; Pseudomonadota; Gammaproteobacteria; Enterobacterales; Enterobacteriaceae.
UUCCAGGCAAAUCCGGUUCACUUUAACACUGAGGCGUGAUGACGAGGCACCACGGUGCUGAAGCAACAAAUGCCCUGCUUCCAGGAAAAGCCUCUAAGCAUCAGGUAACAUCAAAUCGUACCCCAAACCGACACAGGUGGUCAGGUAGAGAAUACCAAGGCGCUUGAGAGAACUCGGGUGAAGGAACUAGGCAAAAUGGUGCCGUAACUUCGGGAGAAGGCACGCUGACACGUAGGUGAAGUGAUUUACUCAUGGAGCUGAAGUCAGUCGAAGAUACCAGCUGGCUGCAACUGUUUAUUAAAAACACAGCACUGUGCAAACACGAAAGUGGACGUAUACGGUGUGACGCCUGCCCGGUGCCGGAAGGUUAAUUGAUGGGGUCAGCGCAAGCGAAGCUCCUGAUCGAAGCCCCGGUAAACGGCGGCCGUAACUAUAACGGUCCUAAGGUAGCGAAAUUCCUUGUCGGGUAAGUUCCGACCUGCACGAAUGGCGUAAUGAUGGCCAGGCUGUCUCCACCCGAGACUCAGUGAAAUUGAACUCGCUGUGAAGAUGCAGUGUACCCGCGGCAAGACGGAAAGACCCCGUGAACCUUUACUAUAGCUUGACACUGAACAUUGAGCCUUGAUGUGUAGGAUAGGUGGGAGGCUUUGAAGCGUGGACGCCAGUCUGCGUGGAGCCGACCUUGAAAUACCACCCUUUAAUGUUUGAUGUUCUAACGUGGACCCGUAAUCCGGGUUGCGGACAGUGUCUGGUGGGUAGUUUGACUGGGGCGGUCUCCUCCUAAAGAGUAACGGAGGAGCACGAAGGUUGGCUAAUCCUGGUCGGACAUCAGGAGGUUAGUGCAAUGGCAUAAGCCAGCUUGACUGCGAGCGUGACGGCGCGAGCAGGUGCGAAAGCAGGUCAUAGUGAUCCGGUGGUUCUGAAUGGAAGGGCCAUCGCUCAACGGAUAAAAGGUACUCCGGGGAUAACAGGCUGAUACCGCCCAAGAGUUCAUAUCGACGGCGGUGUUUGGCACCUCGAUGUCGGCUCAUCACAUCCUGGGGCUGAAGUAGGUCCCAAGGGUAUGGCUGUUCGCCAUUUAAAGUGGUACGCGAGCUGGGUUUAGAACGUCGUGAGACAGUUCGGUCCCUAUCUGCCGUGGGCGCUGGAAGACUGAGGGGGGCUGCUCCUAGUACGAGAGGACCGGAGUGGACGCAUCACUGGUGUUCGGGUUGUCAUGCCAAUGGCACUGCCCGGUAGCUAAAUGCGGAAAAGAUAAGUGCUGAAAGCAUCUAAGCACGAAACUUGCCCCGAGAUGAGUCUUCCCUGAGACUUUGAGUCUCCUGAAGGAACGUUAAAGACGAUGACGUUGAUAGGCCGGGUGUGUAAGCGCAGCGAUGCGUUGAGCUAACCGGUACUAAUGAACCGUGAGGCUUAACCUUACAACGCCGAAGGUGUUU